UACGGAGGGUGCGAGCGUUGUCCGGAAUUAUUGGGCGUAAAGGGUGCGUAGGCGGCGCGGUAUGUCUCUUGUGAAAUCUCCAGGCUCAACUUGGAGUCUGCAAGGGAAACUGCCGUGCUUGAGUACUGGAGAGGUGAGUGGAAUUCCCGGUGUAGCGGUGAAAUGCGUAGAGAUGUGGAGGAAUACCGAUGGCGAAGGCAGCCCCCUGGGCCAAUACUGACGCUCAUGCACGAAAGCGUGGGGAGCAAACAGG
Molecule: ribosomal RNA, 253 nt
Filed under: uncultured bacterium
Lineage: Bacteria
Description: partial 16S ribosomal RNA
Rfam family: Bacterial small subunit ribosomal RNA
Source: RNAcentral